This 77-nucleotide transfer RNA is filed under the name Trichloromonas acetexigens. RNAcentral's name for it is "Desulfuromonas acetexigens tRNA-Arg". It matches the Rfam family "tRNA". From Rfam's summary of the family: Transfer RNA (tRNA) molecules are approximately 80 nucleotides in length. Their secondary structure includes four short double-helical elements and three loops (D, anti-codon, and T loops). Further hydrogen bonds mediate the characteristic L-shaped molecular structure. tRNAs have two regions of fundamental functional importance: the anti-codon, which is responsible for specific mRNA codon recognition, and the 3' end, to which the tRNAs corresponding amino acid is attached (by aminoacyl-tRNA synthetases). tRNAs cope with the degeneracy of the genetic code in two manners: having more than one tRNA (with a specific anti-codon) for a particular amino acid; and 'wobble' base-pairing, i.e. permitting non-standard base-pairing at the 3rd anti-codon position. RNAcentral also lists the same sequence under 2 other names. The record is from RNAcentral. Lineage: Bacteria; Pseudomonadati; Thermodesulfobacteriota; Desulfuromonadia; Desulfuromonadales; Trichloromonadaceae.
GCGCCAGUAGCUCAGCAGGAUAGAGCAACGGCCUUCUAAGCCGUGGGUCGGGGGUUCGAGCCCUCCCUGGCGCGCCA